Molecule: ribosomal RNA, 495 nt
Filed under: uncultured bacterium
Lineage: Bacteria
Description: partial 16S ribosomal RNA
Rfam family: Bacterial small subunit ribosomal RNA
Source: RNAcentral
GACGAACGCUGGCGGCGUGCCUAAUACAUGCAAGUAGAACGCUGAAGGAGGAGCUUGCUUCUCCGGAUGAGUUGCGAACGGGUGAGUAACGCGUAGGUAACCUGCCUGGUAGCGGGGGAUAACUAUUGGAAACGAUAGCUAAUACCGCAUAACAGUAGAUGUUGCAUGACAUUUGCUUAAAAGGUGCAAUUGCAUCACUACCAGAUGGACCUGCGUUGUAUUAGCUAGUUGGUGAGGUAACGGCUCACCAAGGCGACGAUACAUAGCCGACCUGAGAGGGGGAACGGCCACCACUGGAAGGGGAAACGGGCCCGACUCCUACGGGAAGCAGCAGUAGGGAAUCCUCGGACAUGGGAGGGAGGCUGAACGAGCAACGCCGCGGGGGGGAAGAAGGUUUUCGGAUCGUAAAGGUCUGUUGUAAGAGAAGAACGGGUGUGGGAGUGGAAAAUUCACAAUGUGACGGUAUCUUACCAGAAAGGGACGGCUAACUACGUG